AUUGAACGCUGGCGGCAGGCCUAACACAUGCAAGUCGAGCGAGAAAGCCUUCGGGUGAGUGCAGCGGCGGACGGGUGAGUAACGCGUAGGAAUCUACCUGGUAGUGGGGGACAACAUGGGGAAACCCAUGCUAAUACCGCAUACGCCCUAUGGGGGAAAGCGGGGGACCUUCGGGCCUCGCGCUAUCAGAUGAGCCUGCGUAGGAUUAGCUUGUUGGUGAGGUAAAGGCUCACCAAGGCGACGAUCCUUAGCUGGUCUGAGAGGAUGAUCAGCCACACUGGAACUGAGACACGGUCCAGACUCCUACGGGAGGCAGCAGUGGGGAAUAUUGCGCAAUGGGCGAAAGCCUGACGCAGCCAUGCCGCGUGUGUGAAGAAGGCCU
Molecule: ribosomal RNA, 382 nt
Filed under: uncultured bacterium
Lineage: Bacteria
Description: bacterial SSU rRNA
Rfam family: Bacterial small subunit ribosomal RNA
Source: RNAcentral